GAACUCUGGAGAAUCUCCCGCUGUGCGGGAGUGCCGAAGGUGCAAGGCGGCCUUGAAUGGUGUGUUGAAACAGCACAUCCGUCAAACCGCUGAAUCUCUCAGGCAAAAGGAAAGAGC
Molecule: non-coding RNA, 117 nt
Filed under: bovine gut metagenome
Description: Glycine riboswitch
Rfam family: Glycine riboswitch aptamer
About the family: This family represents the bacterial glycine riboswitch. Glycine riboswitches usually consist of two metabolite-binding aptamers domains with similar structures in tandem.
Source: RNAcentral